AAACUGAGGAUAAUACCGGAUAGGCAAUUAUUCCUGUAAUGGUUUUUUGUUUAAAUGUUUUUUCGCCUAAGGAUGGGUCUGCGGCCGAUUAGGUAGUUGGUUAGGUAAUGGCUUACCAAGCCGUUGAUCGGUACGGGUUGUGAGAGCAAGAGCCCGGAGAUGGAACCUGAGACAAGGUUCCAGGCCCUACGGGGUGCAGCAGGCGCGAAACCUCCGCAAUGUGAGAAAUCGCGACGGGGGGAUCCCAAGUGCCAUUCUUAACGGGAUGGCUUUUCAUUAGUGUAAAAAGCUUUUGGAAUAAGAGCUGGGCAAGACCGGUGCCAGCCGCCGCGGUAACACCGGCAGCUCUAGUGGUAGCAAUUUUUAUUGGGCCUAAAGCGUCCGUAGCCGGUUUAAUAAGUCUCUGGUGAAAUCCUGUAGCUUAACUGUGGGAAUUGCUGGAGAUACUAUUAGACUUGAGACCGGGAGAGGUUAGAGGUACUCCCAGGGUAGAGGUGAAAUUCUGUAA
This 508-nucleotide ribosomal RNA is filed under the name uncultured rumen archaeon. RNAcentral's name for it is "bacterial SSU rRNA". It matches the Rfam family "Archaeal small subunit ribosomal RNA", at positions 137 to 645 of the family's 1478-position model. The record is from RNAcentral.